RNAcentral lists this unclassified non-coding RNA (2535 nucleotides) under Arthroleptis variabilis (Buea screeching frog). Its description in RNAcentral is "partial contains 12S ribosomal RNA, tRNA-Val, and 16S ribosomal RNA". The stretch from base 163 to 1105 matches the Rfam family "Bacterial small subunit ribosomal RNA". The record is from RNAcentral. Lineage: Eukaryota; Metazoa; Chordata; Amphibia; Anura; Arthroleptidae.
AYYYAAAAACUCUAUGAGCGUCGGAUGUGGGUGUAUAAACAUACAAAAUUCACACAGCUUUUAAAGGAAAAUAGUUAUUCCCCUGGUCUUAGGAUCCAGCACUUCUUGGCGCAUUUCCAAGUAAAAGCUACUUACUACACACCACGGAACUAAAAACCCUGUAAGUACAAAGAUUUGGUCCUAAUCUUAAUAUCAACUAGUACCUAAUUUACACAUGCAAGUCUCAGCAACCCAGUGAGAACUCCCUUAAGCCUAUCAAGGAAAAGGAGCUGGUAUCAGGCACAGAUUCCUAGCCCAUAACACCUAGCACCGCCACACCCCCAAGGGCACUCAGCAGUGAUAAACAUUGUUAGUAAGCGUCAGCUUGACUCAGUUAACGUACAAAAAGCCGGCCAACCUGGUGCCAGCCGCCGCGGCUACACCAUUGGGCUUAAGUUGAUAACUACGGCGUUAAGCGUGUUUUAAGUACACAAAAAUUAGAGUUAAAUAUAAACUUAAACUGUAACACGUAUACCCCUCGCAGAAACACAAAACGAAAGUUACUCUAAUAAUCACUUGAAUCCACGACAAUUAAGAAACAAACUGGGAUUAGAUACCCCACUAUGCUUAAUCGUAAAAUAUUUACCCACACCUCAACCGCCAGAGCACUACGAGUAACUAACUUAAAACUCAAAGGACUUGACGGCGUCUCACCUACCUAGAGGAGCCUGUUCUAUAAUCGAUACCCCCCGAUACACCUAACCACUUUUUGCUAAUCAGUCUGUAUACCUCCGUCGCAAGCUUACCAUAUGAAUGUUAAUUAGUAAGCAAAAAGGUCACCACACCAAUACGUCAGGUCAAGGUGCAACCCACAAAGUGGUAAGAAAUGGGCUACACUUUCUAAUUUAGAAGAUACGAAUAGUCAUAUGAAAAAUGACAAUGAAGGCGGAUUUAGUAGUAAGGGGCAAAUAGAGCGUGCCCCUUAACCCAGCAAUGAGACGUGUACACACCGCCCGUCACCCUCUUCAAUCAAACAACUUUAGUUUAUAACACCCCACAACACUAAAGAAGAGGUAAGUCGUAACAUGGUAAGUAUACUGGAAAGUGUACUUGGAAUAACAAAAUAUAGCUUAACCAAAGCACUUCGCUUACACCGAAUCAAUAUCUGUUCAAACCAGAUUAUUUUGAGCCAUAAACUCCGCCUACAAACUCAACAUAUAAUAAACAACAUAAAACAUUUAAACAGUCUAGUAGAGGUGAUCGAAAACCUUAAUAAGAGCCACAUAUACAGUACCGCAAGGGAAAAGUGAAAUAGAAGUUAAAUAAACUAAAAGCCCAUAAAAGCAGAGAUUAACGCUCGUACCUUUUGCAUCAUGGUCUAGCUAGUCUAAACAGACAAAUUAUGAUAUUUAGCCUGUGCCCCCGAAACCCAGCGAGCUACUCAAAAACAGCUAUUAGAGCCAACUCAUCUCUGUUGCAAAAGAGUGAGAAGAUUUUUAAGUAGAGGUGACAUGCCUACCGAGCCGGGAGAUAGCUGGUUGCUCAAGAAAAGAACUUUAGUUCCACCUCAAAUUUAGAAUAUAAUAUCAAAUACAUUUGAGAGUUAUUCAAAUAUGGUACAGCCUAUUUGACCACGGAUACAACCUAAAAAUAAGGGUAAUGUGACCUCCUCCUCAUACCCAAGUUGGCCUAAAAGCAGCCACCUUUAAAAUAGCGUUAAAGCUUAAUUAAAUAUUUUUAACAAUAACUCCCCCCACACUAAACCCUACCUCAAUAUUGAGCAUUUUUAUAAUUUAUAAACGUUAUUAUGCUAGAACUAGUAACAAGAAACCCUUCUCCUAAGUGUAAGUAUAUCUCAAACUUGAUCUUUACUACUAUAAAUGUAACAACCCUUUCCAGAAACCCUUACCAAUUCUACUAUUAAACUUACACAAGAACACUACAGGAAAGAUUAAAACAAAAAGAAGGAACUCGGCAAACCUUAGUCUCGCCUGUUUACCAAAAACAUCACCUCUUGACUAAUUAUAAGAGGCCCAGCCUGCCCAGUGAUCAUUUAAACGGCCGCGGUAUCCUAACCGUGCAAAGGUAGCACAAUCACUUGUUCUUUAAAUAAGGACUAGUAUGAACGGCAUCACGAAGACUAUACUGUCUCCUUUCUUCAAUCAGUGAAACUGAUCUUCCCGUGAAGAAGCGGGAAUUAUAAUAUAAGACGAGAAGACCCCAUGAAGCUUCAAAUUAAAUACUAACUACCACCGCAACACCACUAAAACCUGGUAGAUAUAAUUAUUAAUUUUAGGUUGGGGUGACCACGGAGCACAACAAAACCUCCACAAUGAAAAGGCCUAACCCCCUUAUUCAAGAACAACAAUUCUAACAAUCAACAUAUUGACAUACAUUGACCCAAAUUUUUGAUCAAUGAACCAAGUUACUCUGGGGAUAACAGCGCAAUCCAUUUCAAGAGCCCCUAUCGACAAAUGGGUUUACGACCUCGAUGUUGGAUCAGGGUAUCCCAGUGGUGUAGCCGCUACUAAAGGCUCGUUGUUCAACGAUAAAANC